Molecule: RNase P RNA, 184 nt
Filed under: Salmonella enterica subsp. enterica serovar Typhimurium
Lineage: Bacteria; Pseudomonadati; Pseudomonadota; Gammaproteobacteria; Enterobacterales; Enterobacteriaceae
Description: partial RNase P RNA component class A
Rfam family: Bacterial RNase P class A
About the family: Ribonuclease P (RNase P) is a ubiquitous endoribonuclease, found in archaea, bacteria and eukarya as well as chloroplasts and mitochondria. Its best characterised activity is the generation of mature 5'-ends of tRNAs by cleaving the 5'-leader elements of precursor-tRNAs. Cellular RNase Ps are ribonucleoproteins.
Source: RNAcentral
GAGCGCACCGCGCGGCUGGUAACAGUCCGUGGCACGGUAAACUCCACCCGGAGCAAGGCCAAAUAGGGGUUCAUAAGGUACGGCCCGUACUGAACCCGGGUAGGCUGCUUGAGCCAGUGAGCGAUUGCUGGCCUAGAUGAAUGACUGUCCACGACAGAACCCGGCUUAUCGGUCAGUUUCACUU